GCUUUAUAUUUAUAUUUUAUUUUAAAAAAUAAAUUUAAUUAUAAAUUUAGAAUAUUUUAAUUAGUUGGGGCGACGUGUGAAUAAUUUUUUUAACUUCAUAUAUUUUAAAACAUUUAUUUAUGAGAUUGUUAAUAGAUCUUUAUUAAGGAUUAAAGGCAGAGUU
Molecule: ribosomal RNA, 163 nt
Filed under: Philyra syndactyla
Lineage: Eukaryota; Metazoa; Arthropoda; Malacostraca; Decapoda; Leucosiidae
Description: partial 16S ribosomal RNA
Source: RNAcentral